Molecule: ribosomal RNA, 403 nt
Filed under: uncultured bacterium
Lineage: Bacteria
Description: bacterial SSU rRNA
Rfam family: Bacterial small subunit ribosomal RNA
Source: RNAcentral
AUUAAACGCUGGCGGCAUGCCUUACACAUGCAAGUCGAACGGCAGCACGGGGGCAACCCUGGUGGCGAGUGGCGAACGGGUGAGUAAAGCAUCGGAACGUGCCCUGGAGUGGGGGGAUAACGUAGCGAAAGUUACGCUAAUACCGCAUAUUCUGUGAGCAGGAAAGCAGGGGGAUCGCAAGACCUUGCGCUCUGGGAGCGGCCGAUGUCGGAUUAGCUAGUUGGUGGGGUAAAGGCCUACCAAGGCGACGAUCCGUAGCGGGUCUGAGAGGAUGAUCCGCCACACUGGGACUGAGACACGGCCCAGACUCCUACGGGAGGCAGCAGUGGGGAAUUUUGGACAAUGGGCGAAAGCCUGAUCCAGCCAUGCCGCGUGAGUGAAGAAGGCCUUCGGGUUGGUUAAA